Long non-coding RNA from Catharus ustulatus (Swainson's thrush), 399 nucleotides. RefSeq lists it as uncharacterized. The record is from RefSeq and is a predicted model, not a curated record. NCBI's taxonomy places the organism in Eukaryota, Metazoa, Chordata, Aves, Passeriformes, Turdidae. The transcript is spliced from 3 exons.
CCAGCCCGGGACUUCACCCACGGCAGCAGCGGGGCAGGCGCUGGGCUGCCCCUGCACAGCCCUCGCCUCCCCGCUGCGCUCUGCCCUGCGCUCAGCCGGCCCAGCUACAGCUGCACGUCCUCACUGCACACUCCUGAGAUGGGACAGGAGAACAGCAAACCCCAGCCUGGGGACCUGAUCGAGAUCGAUCAGCCAUUUCAUCAGCACUGGGCCCUCUACUUGGGGGUUGGAGUUGUCAUAAACUUGACACCUGUAGAUAAACCAAAGAUAAUGCUGGGAACCUACAACCUGCCGGUUUUUACCAGUACAGUGAAGAGGCAGCUCCUGAAAGAGGUGGUGGGAAAUCAUAAAUGGCAUGUCAACAACAAGUCUGAUGAGUACCAAACUCCUCUACCAGUG